AGAGUUUGAUCCUGGCUCAGGAUGAACGCUAGCGGCAAGCCUAACACAUGCAAGUCGAACGGUUCUUUAGCGAAAGCUAAGGUAUAGUGGCGUACGGGUGAGUAAUAUGAGAGAAUCGUCGUCUAGGAGGGGGAUAACAAGUAUAAAUACUUGCUAAUACCCCAUAAUGCUAUUAAGUGAAAUGAAAUUUUCGCCUAGUCACGAGCUUUCAGCUGAUUAGCUUGUUGGUGAUUUAAAAGCUCACCAAGGCUAUGAUCAGUAGUUGGUUUGAGAAAAUGAACAACCACAUUGGAACUGAGACACGGGACAGACUUCUACGGAAGGCAGCAGUGAAGAAAUUUCCGCAAUGGGUGAAAACCUGACGGAGCUAUGCCGCGUGGAGGAUGAAGGUUUUCGAAUUGAAAUCUCCUUUUCCCAUAGAAGAAUUUAUGACGGUAUACUGGGGAAUAAGCAUCGGCUAAUUUCGUGCCAGCAGCCGCGGUAAUACGAGAGAUGCGAGGUGCGAGUUUUAUCUAACUUGCCAAUAUGUAUAAUAUUACUUAAUAUAAAAUUUAAGUAAUAGAUUACAUCUUCCUGGGCUCCGGAAGAAUCCAAUUAACUAUCCUGAUUAUAAUUAAGACAUGUGAUCAAGUAUAAAGUGAAGCUGAUACAAGAACAAGGAAUUAUGAAUAAUUAUGAAUAGAGGAAACUCUAGGGAGACAAUAGCAUGUUAAUAAAGCCUAGGAAACUGGGCAAGGAGAAAGUGGUUUAUGAUUAGCAGAAGACCUCUGUGAACAAGAUUAUUAUCGACUAGUAUUCUCUACUUAAAAUACAAUCAUAGGAUUAGGAGUAUGCGACAGAUACGUAGGCUAGCAGCGUAUGUCGAAGCCUUCGAUACUCUAGGUAUUCAAUGUCCUCGUCGAAAGACAACGAUUUGAAUUUUUCAAUAAAAUGAAAACGAUAACUUGGAUCUAAAAGAUCACAUAUAAUUGGUAAGAUAGAAGAAAACUGGACUGGCUAAAUCUGAACAAAGACGUUUAUUAUAGAAUACUCGACAAUGUAGAAACCCUCCGUAUAUAAAAAGGUAAGAAAAUACGAGGCAGACAUGGAAAUAAGGAAUUAUAAGCCAACAAGCCAGGAGAGGAUCCAAAAAAAUCAGGGAUCCAGGGAUCAAGAGAAAGAAAUAAGUAUUUAGUCAAAACACUGUGAAAGAAGGAAAACCUUCUUAGUAAAAGACACGGCUAAAUAAUAUUGUCUAUAACUAAAAAAUAAAAAUCGAUAAAUAAUAAAUUUUAGAAACAAAUUUGAUUCUGGAGAGCGUAAUGAAGGGUAACUUUUACGUUACGUUCGGGAACGAGUAGAGUAAUGUAAAACAUACGCUAUUUAGUUAUCAUCGUUAUCUAGAAUUAUUGGGCGUAAAGAGCUUUAAGGUUGUUAAGUAUGUCUAAUGUAAAAUUUCAGGGCUUAACUCUGAACGGGCAUUAGAAACUACUUGACUUGAGUAUAAUAGAGGCAAAGGGAAUUUCUUGUGUAGCGGUGAAAUGCGUAGAUAUAGGGAAGAACACCAGUGGCGAAGGCGCUUUGCUAGGUUAAAUACUGACAUUCAUAAGCGAAAGCCAAGGGAGUGAAAAGGAUUAGAGACCCUUGUAAUCUUGGCUGUAAACGAUGGGUACUAGGUGAUAUAGAAUUAUUGCCGUAGCUAACGCGUUAAGUAUCCCGCCUGGGAAGUACAGUUGCAAAAUUGAAACUCAAAGGAAUUGACGGGGACCCGCACAAGCGGUGGAACAUGUGAUUUAAUUCGAUGGUGCGAAUAUUAGCGAUAAAAAGCGAAUUCGUAAGUAAAGAUAAAUAAAAAGAACGACUAAAUACCAAUAUAAUAAGAACAAAGAAAACUUAAGUCAACUAGUAUUAAGUUGAAAAUCGUCUAACUAGAGUCUUAAACCUGAAUAUAAGGUAAAUUAUAUCCACCUAUAUAUAUAAAUUAAUACAAAGAAUAUAACAAAAAAAAGGUAAAAAAAGAUGAUAAACCAUUGACUCGAAAAAAAGCAUGUUAGAAAAGCGGCUGAAACACAGUACACGAGAUAUAUGAUUAUGGGUAAACAAAAGCUAAUCUCAAACGAGAAAAACCAAUAAAGUUUCAAUCACAAAAGAUUAGGUUAUGUGAAAGAUUAUUCUAAAACAAAAAAUAGGCGUCGAGUUUUUUGGUAAUACAAUGAGAUAAUCGAAAUAGAUUUUACAAAUCGAAAGAUUUUAAAAUUCUAUACUAAAAUAUUAAUUUUAGCUCGUGGCGGGACACCUAAAAGAAUCAUAAACAUCUUUACUAAUGAAAGAUAUAAAGCGGACGUAAAAUAAAUGAAAUAAGCGAAAUACAAAGACAAACCUUCUUAAGGUAACUGAAGUAAAACAUGUAAAGGAACCACUCAUGUUAAAUAAUUGUCUUAAAUCGUAUUAUUUUAGGUGAAAAUUCAAAAUUCUUCAUCGCCAAAAAAUUUGGGAAGUGGAAUAUACCCUAAGGGGUUAGUCCGAAGAGUGAAAAAGAUCUAAAAAGGAAUUGAAAAAUACCGUCUUACAAUAGUAAUAGAUCCAGUUCAUAGAUUUCAACAAAAAAUGAAGAAUCAAAGUUGAAAUGGGAGAGCGUAAUGAUAGGAAAGCUAUCACGUUACGUUCGGGAACGAAGGCGAAUAACCAAUAACGAAAAUAUCGUUUGAAGGCCUUUAGUUUCAUCUACACGAAGAACCUUACCAGAAUUUGACAUUGCAGUUUUCUUUGAAAAAAGAUAUCUCGUUUUGAAGCUGUAAACAGGUGGUGCAUGGCUGUCGUCAGUUCGUGUUGUGAAACGUCAGGUUAAGUCCUUUAACGAACGCAACCCUUUCUUUUAGUUGUUUUUUUAAUUUAUCUAAAAGUACUGCUGACUUUAAGUUAGAGGAAGGUGGGGAUGAGGUCAAGUCAUCAUGCCCCUUAUAUUCUGGGCUAUACACGUGUUACAAUGGGUAGGACAAAAAGUCGCAAGUUUGUGAAAAUUAGCUAAUCUUAUAAACCUACCCUUAGUUCGGAUUGUAGAUUGCAACUCAUCUACAUGUAAGUCGGAAUCGCUAGUAAUCAUUAAUCAGCUAUGUAAUGGUGAAUACGUUCUCGGGUGUGGAUUUUAAAUUAGGUAAUGAUUUAGUUUGGUGGUUUUACCAACCAUACUAGUUUGUAUUAUAAAUAAAUUUAAGCAACAUAUUCGAUAUCUAUAACAAUAAAAAGUAAAUAAAUUAAGAUGAAAUAGAUUACUGAUAGAGGAGACUCUAUGAAAACAAUAACAUGUUGUUACAACUCAUCUCAUAUGGAAAUGUGUGAAAAAAAAUUAAGGAUAGUUAGUAAAAUUUACGAAAUUUGUUAAGUUAGUUUGUAUUAGUUUAUUAAAGAGUAUAUAUCCCGCGAGUAUAUAUAGACCAAUUAUUUACUAACAAACAAGAAAUAGGUUAUGUUAUAAAAUUAAUUAAUGCCGAAUAAUAAUCAGGAACUGGCUAAUCUUGCUAUUAGAGAGGCUAGUUAAGAAGUUAAAUAAGAAAUUAUAUCUAGAAUUUUAAAAAUUAUAAAAAAGAAGAAUCAAGAUAAAUAUAAAUAUAAAUAGAGGUUAAUAAAGAUUGUAGUGAUAUUUAAAUAAUUUAAGUAUAUAAAUAAUUAUAUUAAGUACGUUUUUACUUUGUUUGAUUUGAUUUGAAGAGCAUAAUGACUUUUAAAUUGUCCCCUUAUGUUUGUUGAACGGAUAGCCCUUUUACUAUCUAGUUUCAUGUCUUGUACACACCGCCCGUCACAUCAUGGAAAUUGACUUUGUCUGACGUAGUUAUUUUAACUUAUUGGGAAAAACUACUAAGGCCGGGUUAGUAACUGCGAUGAAGUCGUAACAAGGUAGCCGUACUGGAAGGUGUGGUGCGAAUUAGG
RNAcentral lists this ribosomal RNA (3906 nucleotides) under Trachelomonas grandis. The record is from RNAcentral. Lineage: Eukaryota; Euglenozoa; Euglenophyceae; Euglenales; Euglenaceae.